RNAcentral lists this transfer RNA (85 nucleotides) under Felis catus (domestic cat). It matches the Rfam family "tRNA". Rfam says of the family: Transfer RNA (tRNA) molecules are approximately 80 nucleotides in length. The record is from Rfam by way of RNAcentral. Lineage: Eukaryota; Metazoa; Chordata; Mammalia; Carnivora; Felidae.
GCCUGGGUGGCUCAGCUGGCUGAGCAUCUGACUUCAGCUCAGGUCAUGAACACCCAGUUUGUGGGUUCAAACCCCACGCUGGGCU